This 207-nucleotide ribosomal RNA is filed under the name uncultured bacterium. RNAcentral's name for it is "partial 16S ribosomal RNA". It matches the Rfam family "Bacterial small subunit ribosomal RNA", at positions 524 to 728 of the family's 1533-position model. The record is from RNAcentral.
GACGUAGGGGGCAAGCGUUGUCCGGAAUUAUUGGGCGUAAAGCGCUCGUAGGCGGAUCGAUAAGUCUGUGAAGAAAGACCCGGGCUCAACUCGGGGAACGGCAUAGAUACUGUUGAUCUUGAGACAGUCAGAGGAUGAUGGAAUUCCAGGUGUAGCGGUGAAAUGCGUAGAUAUCGGGAAGGAACACCAGUGGCGGAAGGCGAUCAU